UCAGUUAGUUGGUUUCCUUUGCUGAC
Molecule: non-coding RNA, 26 nt
Filed under: Rattus norvegicus (Norway rat)
Lineage: Eukaryota; Metazoa; Chordata; Mammalia; Rodentia; Muridae
Source: RNAcentral